AAUUGAAGAGUUUGAUCAUGGCUCAGAUUGAACGCUGGCGGCAGGCCUAACACAUGCAAGUCGAGCGGUAGCACAGAGAGCUUGCUCUCGGGUGACGAGCGGCGGACGGGUGAGUAAUGUCUGGGAAACUGCCUGAUGGAGGGGGAUAACUACUGGAAACGGUAGCUAAUACCGCAUAAUGUCGCAAGACCAAAGUGGGGGACCUUCGGGCCUCAUGCCAUCAGAUGUGCCCAGAUGGGAUUAGCUAGUAGGUGGGGUAACGGCUCACCUAGGCGACGAUCCCUAGCUGGUCUGAGAGGAUGACCAGCCACACUGGAACUGAGACACGGUCCAGACUCCUACGGGAGGCAGCAGUGGGGAAUAUUGCACAAUGGGCGCAAGCCUGAUGCAGCCAUGCCGCGUGUGUGAAGAAGGCCUUCGGGUUGUAAAGCACUUUCAGCGGGGAGGAAGGCGUUAAGGUUAAUAACCUUGGCGAUUGACGUUACCCGCAGAAGAAGCACCGGCUAACUCCGUGCCAGCAGCCGCGGUAAUACGGAGGGUGCAAGCGUUAAUCGGAAUUACUGGGCGUAAAGCGCACGCAGGCGGUCUGUCAAGUCGGAUGUGAAAUCCCCGGGCUCAACCUGGGAACUGCAUUCGAAACUGGCAGGCUAGAGUCUUGUAGAGGGGGGUAGAAUUCCAGGUGUAGCGGUGAAAUGCGUAGAGAUCUGGAGGAAUACCGGUGGCGAAGGCGGCCCCCUGGACAAAGACUGACGCUCAGGUGCGAAAGCGUGGGGAGCAAACAGGAUUAGAUACCCUGGUAGUCCACGCCGUAAACGAUGUCGAUUUGGAGGUUGUGCCCUUGAGGCGUGGCUUCCGGAGCUAACGCGUUAAAUCGACCGCCUGGGGAGUACGGCCGCAAGGUUAAAACUCAAAUGAAUUGACGGGGGCCCGCACAAGCGGUGGAGCAUGUGGUUUAAUUCGAUGCAACGCGAAGAACCUUACCUGGUCUUGACAUCCACAGAACUUUCCAGAGAUGGAUUGGUGCCUUCGGGAACUGUGAGACAGGUGCUGCAUGGCUGUCGUCAGCUCGUGUUGUGAAAUGUUGGGUUAAGUCCCGCAACGAGCGCAACCCUUAUCCUUUGUUGCCAGCGGUUCGGCCGGGAACUCAAAGGAGACUGCCAGUGAUAAACUGGAGGAAGGUGGGGAUGACGUCAAGUCAUCAUGGCCCUUACGACCAGGGCUACACACGUGCUACAAUGGCAUAUACAAAGAGAAGCGACCUCGCGAGAGCAAGCGGACCUCAUAAAGUAUGUCGUAGUCCGGAUUGGAGUCUGCAACUCGACUCCAUGAAGUCGGAAUCGCUAGUAAUCGUAGAUCAGAAUGCUACGGUGAAUACGUUCCCGGGCCUUGUACACACCGCCCGUCACACCAUGGGAGUGGGUUGCAAAAGAAGUAGGUAGCUUAACCUUCGGGAGGGCGCUUACCACUUUGUGAUUCAUGACUGGGGUGAAGUCGUAACAAGGUAACCGUAGGGGAACCUGCGGUUGGAUCACCUCCUUA
Molecule: ribosomal RNA, 1539 nt
Filed under: Klebsiella pneumoniae CG43
Lineage: Bacteria; Pseudomonadati; Pseudomonadota; Gammaproteobacteria; Enterobacterales; Enterobacteriaceae
Also listed under: 1 other name
Description: bacterial SSU rRNA
Rfam family: Bacterial small subunit ribosomal RNA
Source: RNAcentral